Long non-coding RNA from Herpailurus yagouaroundi (jaguarundi), 568 nucleotides. RefSeq lists it as uncharacterized. Lineage: Eukaryota; Metazoa; Chordata; Mammalia; Carnivora; Felidae. The transcript is spliced from 3 exons. The record is from RefSeq and is a predicted model, not a curated record.
GCUUUUAAAAAGCAGCUGGGAAUUAUGUUCUCUUGUUCAUUUGUUUCUAGCUUUUACUCUGUAGGCUUUAAGUUGUGAAGCAUUCGCUUCACAGUUUUGAAUUUGUGUUUGAUCUUGAUUCUUACUCCUCGGUGUGGCAAUAGAGCCCUUCGAUUUUAAAGGUUUAUUCGAGAUCACUCAUGGAAGAGUUUUGUCACUCUCUAAAAUUCAGCCAGGACUCUCAGAGUUGGCAUCGGGAGAACAGAUCCGUAUCAAGUUUGUGAAAAGUCUGUGAAGUAACUUUGUUAUGUGUUGCUUUUCAGGAGUAGGUGGUUUGCCAGACUUAGGUGACCAGGCAGUUUCACACAUAAACCCUCCAGCAAAUUUAGAAGUAACCAGGCCCAGCGCAGAGGAAGUGGAGUGCUGCUGUUGCACAGAAAUGUCGAACGGCUCCAGUGAAGUGGAUGUGAAAAGAACACGAAUACCUGCUUAUGAUGAUGAUAACACUGUUCUUUAUGCAUAUGAACCACAUACUGCAUAUGUCCAUAAUCAGGAAGCUGUUCUAUCUGACACAUCCUACAACGAAGAG